CUUUUGUGGUUGUCUACGCUCUGUGGAGAAGAUGGGGCCAUGUCUGUUUCCUUCUCCUCUUCACCUUCCUCCUCUGCCAGUUCAAAGUCUUCAUCAUCAUGGAAACUGUCUCCAUUUUCCUCUGCUUCCAGCACUCUCUGAGGAGUGCAAACACACAUGGGUUUAAAUUAGAGCUACACAAGAUAUAAAAAGCAGGCUGUCCCCCCUCAAGAGGGCCUCCAAGGCUGUGGCCUCCCCUGGUGGCCCCUCACGCUUGGGGGCUAGCUCUGCUUCUAUAAAGUCGAAGCUCACACAGGCGGAGCUGGGGAUCCAGGGGAGGGUGGAGUCGCCUCUUCUUUCUCCAGCAACGAGCAGGAUACAUGUGGUACUAAUAUCAACACAAUCAUGAUCAGCAAGG
Molecule: long non-coding RNA, 397 nt
Organism: Melanotaenia boesemani (Boeseman's rainbowfish)
Lineage: Eukaryota; Metazoa; Chordata; Actinopteri; Atheriniformes; Melanotaeniidae
Exons: 5
Source: RefSeq, a predicted model, not a curated record